RNAcentral lists this ribosomal RNA (450 nucleotides) under uncultured bacterium. RNAcentral describes it as "partial 16S ribosomal RNA". It matches the Rfam family "Bacterial small subunit ribosomal RNA", at positions 354 to 796 of the family's 1533-position model. The record is from RNAcentral.
GUGGGGAAUUUUGGACAAUGGGCGCAAGCCUGAUCCAGCAAUGCCGCGUGCAGGAAGAAGGCCUUCGGGUUGUAAACUGCUUUUGUACGGAACGAAACGGCUCUGGUUAAUACCCGGGGCUAAUGACGGUACCGUAAGAAUAAGUACCGGCUAACUACGUGCCAGCAGCCGCGGUAAUACGUAGGGUGCAAGCGUUAAUCGGAAUUACUGGGCGUAAAGCGUGCGCAGGCGGUUUUGUAAGACGGGCGUGAAAUCCCCGGGCUCAACCUGGGAAUGGCGCUUGUGACUGCAAAGCUGGAGUGCGGCAGAGGGGGAUGGAAUUCCGCGUGUAGCAGUGAAAUGCGUAGAUAUGCGGAGGAACACCGAUGGCGAAGGCAAUCCCCUGGGCCUGCACUGACGCUCAUGCACGAAAGCGUGGGGAGCAAACAGGAUUAGAUACCCUGGUAGUCC